This 428-nucleotide ribosomal RNA is filed under the name Bacteroidota bacterium. RNAcentral describes it as "Bacteroidetes bacterium partial 16S ribosomal RNA". It matches the Rfam family "Bacterial small subunit ribosomal RNA", at positions 355 to 776 of the family's 1533-position model. The record is from RNAcentral. Lineage: Bacteria; Pseudomonadati; Bacteroidota.
UAGGGAAUCUUCCGCAAUGGUCGCAAGUCUGACGGAGCAACGCCGCGUGAGUGAAGAAGGAUUUCGGUUCGUAAAACUCUGUUGUUAGAGCAGAACAGCGCCUAGAGUAACUGUUAUGCGUGUGACGGUAUCUAACCAGAAAGCCACGGCUAACUACGUUCCAGCAGCCACGGUAAUACGUAGGUCCCGAGCGUUGUCCGUAUUUAUUGGGAGUAAAGCGAGCGCAGGCGGUUAGAUAAGUCUGAAGUUAAAGGCAGUGGCUCAAUCAUUGUAUGCUUUGGAAACUGUUUAACGUGAGUGCAGAAGGGGAGAGUGGAAUUCCAUGUGUAGCGGUGAAAUGCGUAGAUAUAUGGAGGAACACCGGUGGCGAAAGCGGCUCUCUGGUCUGUAACUGACGCUGAGGCUCGAAAGCGUGGGGAGCGAACAGG